AUGUGUGAUGGCCGAACCUGUGGCCACACAUUGAUAAGGUUUAAGUUACCGUGGCAUGGAGGUUGGAUGAAUGGCGUUGACUCAGGUGUGCGUCUUUCCGUCAUCGCGGUCUUGACUGACAAAAGGCUGAGGCGCGUGCGGCAGUCAAUAUUUAUGGUCUGAGCAUUCCACUGGACGAUACCAACUGGAUGCUAUGUCAUGGGGGGGUGAAGAAAUGAAGUUAUAUUUCUGAUUGGUUCCAAUUUAUUUUUAGUAUUAAUAUUUGUUGUUUUGUAUUAUUAGAUUGUUUUGUUUGUUACUCUAUUUACUUUGAUUAGAUAACUUGUAACUAAUUUGUUGGUUUAUAAAGUGUUGAUUGUAUGUUUUCCCCUGUCUUGUUUAAGUGAGCUCACCGUCUGUGAUAAAUACCUGUCUGUUGUCUCAUUUAGGGGGUUAGUUUUGUUUUGUUCAGUUCUUCUUAAGUUUCGUUAUAUUGAAUUAAAACUUGUUUUGUUUACUUUAUUAAAGUCUAGCUAGAUUAUUUGUUAGAACAAGUUGAUUUAUUUUGUAACUGAGACCUUUUUCUUAUUUUUGAGUAAAAUAAAACCUUUUUUUUGUUGGCAAUCCUGUGUCCUCGUGUCUUACUACUUGGCGAUAUCCGACAAUAUGGAUUCGCGCUUAAUAGUCUGUGUGUUUCUCGUGGACUUGGGAUAGACUCUGUAGUGAUGGUUUGCAUCAGGACGACUUGUACUUUUGUCGAGAAGAUAUGCUGAGAUAUGUGACGGCAGCACUGGGGUUACCCAAAUAAAAGGCAGAAGUGGGGGCAAUUGAUGAUGUACCCAAAACCCAUUACCGCCAUACCAUUACCAUGUCUGAAGGUUAUAAUAUCAGCUGGCUGUUUCUAAUAAGUGUUUGCAGUUACCUUUCUGGUUGUUGACUGAUUAGCAGCGGAGGUGGUGGUCAGAUGGAUGCUGAUGGCUGCAGUUCUGUCACUGUCUGUCGUUUCUGGGCCGUCUCUGUCUACUCAGAGUAGGGAAUUGGGAGGAAUGAGCUGGGUAUAGCAGGUGAGAUGUGGCCCUGCGGUUUUGGCAUUUUGUCUAUGUUUAUCGUGUUCCCACGCUGUUCCUCCUCAUUGCCUCUCUGUAAGGCCCUCCCUGGUGGCCUUGUCACUCUAAUUAGGUGACAGACGGCAGCAAACAAUAUCCCUCAUUACUGCUGACAUGGGCGACUCUCAUAGUCACACACAAUUGUUAUCCCUUCUUAUAUACACAAACACAGACACGCAUACACAUACACAGAAGAGGCUAAAACAAAUAUAUGCACUAUGACAAGCAUCAAUCUUGUGUAAUGUCUCACUUGUUCUCAUCCUCAAACAAUUGCUGCAGAAGCCGAGACAUGUCCUUAGUCAGGGUUAAGCAAAUGUUGGAAUAGCUGCCUAUUAUUUUGGUACGCACCUCAAAAUAAAUGUGAUAGUAAUGCUGGUUGUUCUUCAGUCACUAUGGUGAUUGGCAGUAUCGCAGGUAUUGUGGUGUCUGUGGAAUUUCAGGAAGCUAUUUUUUUUUCGUCACACACAUUGAAGGAAUAGGUCAACCAAAAAUAAAAAUCUGAACUUUUAUUCAUCCUCAUGUUCUUCUAAACCUGUAGGAUUUCUUUUUAUCAUAUGACAUGUAAAAGAAGAUGAUUGUCCAGGCUGCUCUUUUACAUGCAAUGAAACUCGGUUGUAACUUAUUAAGUGAUAGUAACAGUCAAACCCCAAAAAAGUAAAUAAAUAAAAAAAUAAUAAUAAUAAAAAAAAACAUUUAAUAUAUAUAUAUAUAUAUAUAUAUAUAUAUAUAUAUAUAUAUAUAUAUAUAUAUAUAUAUACACACACACACACACACACACACACACACACACACACACACACACACACAUAUAUAAACUAUAUUAAGUAUUUUAAAGACACAAAAUAACUUGUGAUAAAUAUGAGCCAUUAAGUGUUGAAAAUCUCACCCUUCGCUACAGCUAUCAAAUCUUAUUUGUACCUGCAUUAAGUUAAAUACAUUCAAGCAUCCUAAAUCACGUCACAAGAUAUGUGUCACAAUGAUGUUGUGUGAAGCAUGACAAUUUUUAAUGCGUCAUGAUUAAAUUACCACAAGUGUGAAUCAAAGGGUUAUUUGAGGGUGCAUGAGUAUAAAGUAAAUAAGUG
Cyprinus carpio carpio is the source of this 2167-nucleotide long non-coding RNA. The record is from Ensembl. Lineage: Eukaryota; Metazoa; Chordata; Actinopteri; Cypriniformes; Cyprinidae.